This 86-nucleotide small nucleolar RNA is filed under the name Fusarium oxysporum f. sp. lycopersici 4287. The record is from RNAcentral. Lineage: Eukaryota; Fungi; Ascomycota; Sordariomycetes; Hypocreales; Nectriaceae.
GGCACUAUGAUGGAAAACAUACAUUCAUCAACUAGACUCCGGUCGAUGCUGUUGAUAGUUAACCUUCUUUCGGGUCUGACAUUGCC